UACGUAGGGGGCGAGCGUUGUCCGGAGUUACUGGGCGUAAAGCGUGCGUAGUCGGUUAUCUAAGUCGGGUGUGAAAUCCCCGGGCUCAACCUGGGAAUUGCAUUCGAUACUGGAUAGCUAGAGUUCGGCAGAGGGAAGCGGAAUUUCCGGUGUAGCGGUGAGAUGCGUAGAUAUCGGAAGGAACAUCAGUGGCGAAAGCGGCUUCCUGGACCAGAACUGACGGAUCAGGCACGAAAGCGUGGGGAGCAAACAGG
Molecule: ribosomal RNA, 254 nt
Filed under: uncultured bacterium
Lineage: Bacteria
Description: partial 16S ribosomal RNA
Rfam family: Bacterial small subunit ribosomal RNA
Source: RNAcentral